ACCGAACCGACUACCGUUGAAAAGUUAGCGGAUGACCUGUGGAUCGGAGUGAAAGGCUAAUCAAGCUCGGAGAUAGCUGGUUCUCCUCGAAAGCUAUUUAGGUAGCGCCUCAUGUAUCACUGUAGGGGGUAGAGCACUGUUUCGGCUAGGGGGUCAUCCCGACUUACCAACCCUUUGCAAACUCCGAAUACCGAUGAGUGCUAUCCGGGAGACACACGGCGGGUGCUAACGUCCGUCGUG
Molecule: ribosomal RNA, 240 nt
Filed under: Heterosigma akashiwo
Lineage: Eukaryota; Raphidophyceae; Chattonellales; Chattonellaceae
Description: partial Bacterial large subunit ribosomal RNA
Rfam family: Bacterial large subunit ribosomal RNA
Source: RNAcentral